UCCUACGGGGGGCAGCAGUCUAGAGGCUUCGGCAAUGGGGGCAACCCUGACCGAGCGACGCCGCGUGUGGGAUUGAAGGCCUUCGGGUCGUAAACCACUGUCAUUGGGAAAGAAUGCCCUGGUGGCGAACCAGGGAGAGACGGUACCCAAGAAGGAAGCCCCGGCUAACUCCGUGCCAGCAGCCGCGGUAAUACGGAGGGGGCAAGCGUUGUUCGGAUUUACUGGGCGUAAAGGGUGUGUAGGCGGCUGCGCAAGUCUGGUGUGAAAUCUUCACCGCUUAACGGGAAGAGGUCACUGGAAACUGCGUAGCUCGAGUAUGGUAGAGGCAAGCGGAAUUCCUGGUGUAGCGGUGGAAUGUGUAGAUAUCAGGAAGAACACCUGUGGCGAAGGCGGCUUGCUGGGCCAUCACUGACGCUGAGACACGAAAGCGUGGGGAGCAAACGGGAUUAGAUACCCCGGUAGUCCU
RNAcentral lists this ribosomal RNA (466 nucleotides) under uncultured bacterium. RNAcentral describes it as "bacterial SSU rRNA". It matches the Rfam family "Bacterial small subunit ribosomal RNA", at positions 337 to 797 of the family's 1533-position model. The record is from RNAcentral.